RNAcentral lists this ribosomal RNA (482 nucleotides) under uncultured bacterium. Its description in RNAcentral is "partial 16S ribosomal RNA". It matches the Rfam family "Bacterial small subunit ribosomal RNA", at positions 28 to 507 of the family's 1533-position model. The record is from RNAcentral.
GAUGAACGCUGGCGGCGUGCCUAAUACAUGCAAGUCGAACGCUUCACUUCGGUGAAGAGUGGCGAACGGGUGAGUAAUACAUAAGUAACCUGGCAUCUACAGGGGGAUAACUGAUGGAAACGUCAGCUAAGACCGCAUAGGUGUAGAGAUCGCAUGAACUCUAUAUUAAAAGUGCUACGGGACUGGUAGAUGAUGGACUUAUGGCGCAUUAGCUUGUUGGUAGGGUAACGGCCUACCAAGGCGACGAUGCGUAGCCGACCUGAGAGGGUGACCGGCCACACUGGGACUGAGACACGGCCCAGACUCCUACGGGAGGCAGCAGUAGGGAAUUUUCGGCAAUGGGGGAAACCCUGACCGAGCAACGCCGCGUGAAGGAAGAAGUAAUUCGUUAUGUAAACUUCUGUCAUAGAGGAAGAACGGUGGAUAUAGGGAAUGAUAUCCAAGUGACGGUACUCUAUAAGAAAGCCACGGCUAACUACGUG